AAACUCAAAAUGAAUUGACGGGGGCCCGCACAAGCGGUGGAGCAUGUGGUUUAAUUCGAUGCAACGCGAAGAACCUUACCUGGUCUUGACAUCCACAGAACUUUCCAGAGAUGGAUUGGUGCCUUCGGGAACUGUGAGACAGGUGCUGCAUGGCUGUCGUCAGCUCGUGUUGUGAAAUGUUGGGUUAAGUCCCGCAACGAGCGCAACCCUUAUCCUUUGUUGCCAGCGGUUAGGCCGGGAACUCAAAGGGGACUGCCAGUGAUAAACUGGAGGAAGGUGGGGAUGACGUCAAGUCAUCAUGGCCCUUACGACCAGGGCUACACACGCGCUACGAUGGCAUAUACAAAGAGAAGCGACCUCGCGAGAGCAAGCGGACCUCAUAAAGUAUGUCGUAGUCCGGAUUGGAGUCUGCAACUCGACUCCAUGAAGUCGGAAUCGCUAGUAAUCGUAGAUCAGAAUGCUACGGUGAAUACGUUCCCGGGCCUUGUACACACCGCCCGUCACACCAUGGGAGUGGGUUGCAAAAGAAGUAGGUAGCUUAACCUUCGGGAGGGCGCUUACCACUUUGUGAUUCAUGACUGGGGUGAAGUCGUAACAAGG
Molecule: ribosomal RNA, 600 nt
Filed under: uncultured bacterium
Lineage: Bacteria
Description: bacterial SSU rRNA
Rfam family: Bacterial small subunit ribosomal RNA
Source: RNAcentral